UAAAAUUUACAUUUAGAAAGUUAUAAUUUUAAUUUUUGAAAAUUUAUUGAAAUUAUUUUUAUUAUAAAAUUAUAAUAUUAAUUAAAAUAUAAUAGAAAUAUUUUGAUAUUUUCAUAAUUUCAAUUUUAAGUUUUUUACUAAAUAUUUUUACUUUUGUAUAUAUAUUGUUUUAAAAAAAAAAGAAAAAAGUUUUACCCUCC
This 200-nucleotide long non-coding RNA is filed under the name Brassica rapa (field mustard). Its description in RNAcentral is "long non-coding RNA (BRAP_LNC002661)". The record is from RNAcentral. Lineage: Eukaryota; Viridiplantae; Streptophyta; Magnoliopsida; Brassicales; Brassicaceae.